This 695-nucleotide long non-coding RNA is filed under the name Elaeis guineensis (African oil palm). RNAcentral's name for it is "long non-coding RNA (EGUI_LNC038923)". Lineage: Eukaryota; Viridiplantae; Streptophyta; Magnoliopsida; Arecales; Arecaceae. The record is from RNAcentral.
GCAUUGGGGCGUUCCAAAUGGCCAGACAGAAAGUCCUGCUUUCUGUUUUGGUCUCAGGGUCUCAGAGGGCCGUCCCAUGGGGCAUCCCAAUUAUAUGGGGCAUCCCAGGUGGGUCGUCUCACAGUGUGUCAUGAUCCAAAACACUGCGUGCUGGCUGCCAACAGAAGGGGAUGAUCCAGAUGGGUCGUCCCAUCAUGUUCUAAUCCAGUUUUUCAUACAUUUAAGGUUCGAAAUUUAUCAGAACUUAUCCAAACGCUCUCAAAUGAAUUCAAAUCAGUUUGGACACUCUCAAAAGCCUUCAAAACUUCACCAACUUGCUGAAAUUUUAACUUUUGGUAUAUUUGAUGAAGCUUUUCAAACCUAAUCUCUUGGACUACUUGAAAUAUUAUAAAAAUAAUUUUUAAACAUAGCAAACUCAUUAGUAGUCCCCUCAAAUAGUUUGUGAUCAUCAAAAUUAAUUCUUGUAGCAACACUUAUUCCUUUAAACAAGGCGAGGUGGCUGAGGCGUCGCUUAAGCACUUGAGGCGCGCGCCUGACCUAAACUCCAAAAGCGCAUCUGAGGCGGUGGCUAUUAGUCUCAAGAGGGAAACAAGGCGACGUUUUGCGAAGUCAGAUAGAUGCAAAGAAGGAAAAAAAAGGUGAAACCCAGUCAUGAUCGCUGAUCGAAGAUCCACAUCCAUUAGAGCACUGCCCCA